UUCGGGGCGGGCCGGGCGGUCUGCCGAUGGGUAUGCACUGUUCGGCGCGUCCUUCUUUCCGGAGACCGCGCCUACUCUUAGCUGAGCGGGCGUGGGAGACGGAUCGUUUACUUUGAAAAAAUCAGAGUGUUUCAAGCAGGCAGCUCGCUCUUGCAUGGAUUAGCAUGGGAUAAUGAAAUAGGACUCUGGUGCUAUUUUGUUGGUUUCGAACACCGGAGUAAUGAUUAACAGGGACAGUCAGGGGCACUCGUAUUCCGUCGAGAGAGGUGAAAUUCUCAGACCAAUGGAAGACGAACCACUGCGAAAGCAUUUGCCAGGGAUGUUUUCACUGAUCAAGAACGAAAGUUAGGGGAUCGAAGACGAUCAGAUACCGUCGUAGUCUUAACCAUAAACCAUGCCGACUAGGGAUUGGAGGGUGUUCUAUUUGACCCCUUCAGCACCUUACGGGAAACUAAAGUCUUUGGGUUCCGGGGGGAGUAUGGUCGCAAGGCUGAAACUUAAAGGAAUUGACGGAAGGGCACCACCAGGAGUGGAGCCUGCGGCUUAAUUUGACUCAACACGGGGAAACUUACCAGGUCCAGACAUUGUUAGGAUUGACAGAUUGAGAGCUCUUUCUUGAUUCGAUGGGUGGUGGUGCAUGGCCGUUCUUAAGUGGUGGAGUGAUUUGUCUGGGUUAAUUUCCCGUUAACGAA
RNAcentral lists this ribosomal RNA (692 nucleotides) under uncultured eukaryote. Its description in RNAcentral is "SSU rRNA". It matches the Rfam family "Eukaryotic small subunit ribosomal RNA", at positions 640 to 1335 of the family's 1831-position model. The record is from RNAcentral.